Molecule: long non-coding RNA, 839 nt
Organism: Oncorhynchus tshawytscha (Chinook salmon)
Lineage: Eukaryota; Metazoa; Chordata; Actinopteri; Salmoniformes; Salmonidae
Source: Ensembl
GUACAGAGUCAAUGUGGAGACUAUAUACAGGGGGCACCGAUACAGAGUUCAUUUGGAGACUAUAAACAGGGGGUACCGAUACAGAGUUAAUGUGGAGACUAUAUACAGGGGGUAAAGGUAUAAAGUCAAUGUGGAGACUAUAUACAGGGGGUACCGAUACAGAGUCAAUGUGGAGACUACAUACAGGGGGUACCGAUACAGAGUUAAUGUGGAGACUAUAUACAGGGGGUACUGGUACAGAGUCAAUGUGGAGACUAUAUACAGGGGGUACUGGUACAUAGUUAAUGUGGAGACUAUAUACAGGGGGUACCAGUACAUAGUCAAUGUGGAGACUAUAUACAGGGGGUACUGGUACAUAGUCAAUGUGGAGACUAUAUACAGGGGGUACCGGUACAGAGUUAAUGUGGAGACUAUAUACAGGGGGGUACGGUACAGAGUCAAUGUGGAGGCUAUAUACAGGGGUACCGGUACAGAGUCAAUGUGGAGACUAUAUACAGGGGGUACUGGUACAUAGUCAAUGUGGAGACUAUAUACAGGGGGUACUGGUACAUAGUCAAUGUGGAGACUAUAUACAGGGGGUUCCGGUACAUAGUCAAUGUGGAGACUAUAUACAGGGGGUACCGGUACAGAGUUAAUGUGGAGACUAUAUACAGGGGGUACCGGUACAGAGUCAAUGUGGAGGCUAUAUACAGGGGGGUACUGAUACAGAGUUAAUGUGGAGACUAUAUACAGGGGGGUACCGGUACAGAGUCAAUGUGGAGGCUAUAUACAGGGGGUUCUGGUACAGAGUCAAUGCGGAGACUAUACUCAGGGGGUACCACUACAGACUCAAUGUGGAG